This 55-nucleotide ribosomal RNA is filed under the name Knoxdaviesia capensis. Its description in RNAcentral is "partial 28S ribosomal RNA". The record is from RNAcentral. Lineage: Eukaryota; Fungi; Ascomycota; Sordariomycetes; Microascales; Gondwanamycetaceae.
AAAGGUUGACCUCGAAUCAGGUAGGAAUACCCGCUGAACUUAAGCAUAUCAAUAG